AUGUCGUCUGAGGAGCAACUGAGUUUUGGUGGAGAUGUGACCACCGGGAGAGGUCUGUCUCCUUUAUGGUGGUUCUCCUGCAUUUUGGAACUCCCUUUCAAGAAAAGCUUAGGCUUGUAAUGGGAUCCUUAGAUGAAAAUGCUGCCAAUUCAACAGCACAUUGUGGCAAUUCGAGCAACGAUUCUUUAAGGAGAAAGGAACAGCAGUAGCCAUGCAGCAGCAACAGCAGCGACAGAAUGACUGACUCAGAUGGAUGAUGCUGGUGGAACAUUAAAGGCAAGUCACUUACUGUUCCCACAAGGGAAGGAAAUCUGAGCUGAUCUCAUCCUUGAAUGACAGAAAUCAGAAUCUUAGAAAUCUGCGUAGCUGCCACAUUUUGGACCUGCUGACAUUUCUGUACUGUUUCCAAGGGCAGCCCUACAUAGAGAGCACCACAGUAAUCUAUUUUUUGAGAUUAUCAAUGCAUGGACAACUUUUACUAGGCAUUUCUUGUAGGGGUGCAACUGGAUAACCAAAGAGUGCUGAUGAAAAAACAUUCCUGGCCAUGGAUGAUAUCUGAGCCUCCACAGAGAAUGCUGGGUUCAGGAGUACCUCGGGCUGCAGACCUCAUCCUUCAGGGGGGGUGUAACUCCAUCAAGGUCAGAGUGAAGAGGAAAGCUCACCCUUGGAGCAAUUUGCACUUGAUCAAGCCUGAAACAAGACUUCAUUUCAGCCCAGGACCUGAUUUGAUCUGUCAAUAAUCCUGGCUCCUCUUUCCUCUCUCCCUUUUGUGCUGGGACCUUUUGGCUGCCUGGGGUUUCCAGACGUUGAGAGGACCUGACAGAGCUGUGGACAAGCGGGCGGAGGAGAGCGAUCCAUCUCUCAUCCUUAAUCACUCUCUGCUGGACGCAAACUUUUUGCUUCACAUUACCGGAGAGAAAAGCAGCUUUUCCUCAGUCAGGCUGAGGACAGAAUUAAAGUGAUGCUGACAUUUUAAAAGAUAAGGGGGAGUCUGGCUGUUUCCAGCCAUGGUUUCAUCUGAUACGGGGCUGCACAUCAACAGACAGCAGUCAUUGUUAGUGAGAUUUUUGCAGCUGUCGGGUGAAGGAAUCACUGAGACGACUUUCUUUCUUGCAUAGUUAUUAUGCAUCUGGAAGACCUCUAAUUCAAUGGUUCCCAACUUUGGGUAACCUACGUGUUCUAGGACUGCAAUUCCCAGAAUCCCCGGGAUGCACAGUUGGUGGCGAACACUUCUAGGAAUUGCACUCCAAGAACAUCUGGGCUACCCAAGGUUGGGAACCACUGCUCUACAUCCAGGACUCUGUUGGUGUUAAACGAAUGAUGGACUGCAAGAGAAGGGAAUUAAACAUCAAGUGUUGCUAAGCUCAUUGAAAUACCAUCUUGAGGUCAAGGAAGCCAGAGAAGCUGUCAAGCUUGUUCAAUGAAAUUGAGUAGGUAGUGGCCACAGGGAAUCCAGAGCUUGGAAAAGUUACAUUUUGAAGUCUCCAAAUUCCAGCUUCCCCCAAGCCAGCAUUCUCUGGCUAUCAAAAAAGACUACCAAGCGCCGUGUUAUGUUUUCCAUUGGUAGACCUGAUCCGUUUUCAUGCUAAGGAGCCUCUGGAGUGGGGAUGAAUUUCUGCCUCGGGUGACCUUGUGUGCAUCUUUAAGCAAAGCGGUGCAUGACCCCAGCCGGAACAACUGCUGUGGAAUGACGCACCUAUGCCCUACGGUGACCCUCAGCUCAUCACAGGCAGCUUCCACCAUCAUUAGCGUUCAUAACAAGCAAGCAGGCACUGCUUAAAACCCAACCACGGUCAAUGACUCUGUGACCUCAGGUGGCCAGAUAGACUUACACCAUGCUGCAGGAUUCUCUCUACAUUUCGCUCCAAAGUAUACCUGCUAUUAGCUUUCAUCAGGCAGAGGGUCAAGGAGCUUUUUACGAUGACAAACACAUUCUGCACUGGAGACAUUUUUGAAAUAAAUAAGCUA
This is a non-coding RNA of Pogona vitticeps (central bearded dragon), 1968 nucleotides long. The record is from RefSeq and is a predicted model, not a curated record. Lineage: Eukaryota; Metazoa; Chordata; Lepidosauria; Squamata; Agamidae.